RNAcentral lists this long non-coding RNA (289 nucleotides) under Lepisosteus oculatus (spotted gar). Its description in RNAcentral is "lncRNA (ENSLOCG00000021304.1)". The record is from RNAcentral. Lineage: Eukaryota; Metazoa; Chordata; Actinopteri; Semionotiformes; Lepisosteidae.
AAAAGCGAGUGGCUGAAAUGAGAGCGGAUCAGGAACUCGCUCCUGCGCGACGGGUAGCUGCGAGGCAAAACGCCCCGGCUGCUGCCAGUUUCCCAGGAUCUGUCCAGGGAGAGCUGAGGGUAAUAGAGUAUGUCACCUCCUUAGACGAUAGGUGCCCUUUCACCAGGGCCAUGAACUUGGUCAUGUUCCCAGGAUCACCUCUCCCAGUCUAAUUACAAAGCCCGCAGGUCCAGAUCCUCAGGCUUACUUAACCUUCCUGCCAUUCUCCCAGGAAGCCAGGUAUUCUUCC